This 468-nucleotide ribosomal RNA is filed under the name uncultured bacterium. RNAcentral describes it as "partial 16S ribosomal RNA". It matches the Rfam family "Bacterial small subunit ribosomal RNA", at positions 28 to 507 of the family's 1533-position model. The record is from RNAcentral.
GACGAACGCUGGCGGCGUGCUUAACACAUGCAAGUCGAACGGAAAGGCCCUGCUUUUGUGGGGUGCUCGAGCGGCGAACGGGUGAGUAACACGUGAGUAACCUGCCCUUGACUUUGGGAUAACUUCAGGAAACUGGGGCUAAUACCGGAUAGGAGCUCCUGCUGCAUGGUGGGGGUUGGAAAGUUUCGGCGGUUGGGGAUGGACUCGCGGCUUAUCAGCUUGUUGGUGGGGUAGUGGCUUACCAAGGCUUUGACGGGUAGCCGGCCUGGGAGGGUGACCGGCCACAUUGGGACUGAGGGACGGCCCAGACGCCUACGGGAGGCAGCAGGGGGGAGUAUUGCACAAUGGGCGGAAGCCUGAGACAGCAACGCCGCGUGCGGGAUGACGGCCUUCGGGGUGUAAACCGCUUUCGCCUGUGACGAAGCGGGAGUGACGGUAAUGGGUAAAGAAGCACCGGCUAACUACGUG